This is a long non-coding RNA of Numida meleagris (helmeted guineafowl), 2210 nucleotides long. RefSeq lists it as uncharacterized. NCBI's taxonomy places the organism in Eukaryota, Metazoa, Chordata, Aves, Galliformes, Numididae. The record is from RefSeq and is a predicted model, not a curated record. The transcript has 3 exons.
CCAAAACCACCAUUCAAGCUUACUUAAUGCCUGUGCAGACAUUCACCCAGGAUGUGGUGAUGCUUUAUUGACAGAUCCUUGAAUGAAGACAAUGUAUGUAAUUCUGUCACCAGUCUAUGCCUGGAAUCUCAGUAGGACUGUCAGGUGUUGCCUUAUGAAAUGAAGGAUCAGACUAUGAAAUCUGUAUCUUUGCAAGGUUCUUUCUUUUCCCUGCAGUAUUGCCAGAGCAUAAUCAGCAGAUACUCAGUGGGUUAGAUAAAGAGGUCUAUCUGACAAGUAUUUCCUUCAUAAUCCCUUGCUCGUGUCUAAUUGAAUCUGCAGUAUUUUGUCCACGGCUCUGAUUUGGUAUUACUGUACCAUGACUAUACAUCAUGAAGCUGGUGAUGGAUUUGGCAAGAGAGACUACUCAUGCCACGUUGUUCAGCUGCACUGUGGAAUGUUGAAGUCAUGGACUGUAUGGGACCCCAUUAAUGGAAAAAGCACAGCGGACACAUGGUACACCUUCCCAAUUUUCUCUAUGUAAAGCCUUCCUCUGAUUUAAAAAAACUGGUUUCGGUAUGACAGUAUCUACAACAGAGAAUACAUAUGGUUUUCUUACCAUGUUUAUAUGUCAGUGUCAAAUAAAUCUCCUUUUGAGAUGAGGAACUACAAAUUGUAUUAAAUACUGGUUAAAGUCCUCAGAAGAGCAUUUGAUUACAAAUACUAGCAUCAGCUUGUCAUUACUGCCUUCUGUAUUUACAGAUGACUCUGCAGAUUUGCCCAUUCACUCUGAAAAUCCGUUGUAGUUGUAAGGUCUUCAAAAGAGAUACAAAUAAAUGCAGCAAACUUUUCAUUGUGUAUUUAUGACAAUGCUAUUUUUAAGUAGCUAUUUUUUAGCUAAUGGCUUGAUUCCUAAUUUUUACAUCUGAGUAUUCUUUUACUGUUUUCCUGCUGUGGGAUCUUAUACUGUCAGUUUUAUUUUAUUUUUAAUUUUUAGGCCUGUAGAGGUUCUUUCUUUUUCUAUCUGUGGAAAUACAUGUUCCAACGUAACUCAUUAAGAGAUUUCUUUAGUUACUUUAUUAGAAUCCAUGCUGUGGGGAAGUGUUUUAAUAAAUUGUAUUUCUGAAGAUUGUCACUUUUUUGAUCUUGUUGAAACUGCAAGCAUGAUGAAGGUGCUUAAUAUUUAAUGCAUCUGACAAUUCCAGACAAAGAUGGGAGGGAACUCUCUGCUCUUGUUGUGAACUAAUGGUGGCUCCUGAAACCUCUUCAGGGCUGAUGAACAGGCUAUGGUUGAUGAUAAAACACUGCAGAGAGACCUGAACGAGGAGUAGUGUAUUAAACUUAAAAUUGUAGGUUGACUCGAAAUAAUCCCAAAAGAGGAGAUUUGCGGGUUUGUUUGGAACUGUGCUGAGACUGAUCCUACAAGAAAAAUAGCCUCUUAAGUACCUUGUGUUAAAUCUGGGAUUGGGCUUCAGACUCUACUGGAAACUUGACUCCCAGAUACUUAUUUGGGUUUAGUUGGAGAUUAACUGAGAAAUGAGUUAUUCGCCUGAAUAUGGGAUAAACACCUGUCAUACAUAUCCAUACCACGCUGCUUCACUUGUUUUCUAAUGUUGUUUUAUUAACCAAUGCAUUUGUCCUUGCAAGACGGCUCUGUCCCCAGCAAGUACAAUUAUUCCUCUGGAAUAGUGGCCAAGCACAAUGACCAAGACCAUAGCAGAGCAGAACAAUAAAUCAGUUAUUUCAACAGUUUUACUUAUUUAUUUUCUGCCUGUUGGUAUGUUGCCAUGGAAUUGCAUUGGAUGGAAUGCCAAGGUGUGUGUGCCAGUUCCUUUAUAGUACCUUUAUUUAUUAUUAUUUUUUUAAGUUUCAGGCAAGUGUCUUUACUGAAUAUCCAGUAUUGUUGAAUCCACAUUUUUGUCUGAUCAAAUCUCUACCUUUUCCUCUGCGAUCCUGAGCAUAACUGAUUUUUGUCUCUGGGAGCUGCCUGUACUGUGCCUUGCUAAUAUUACAGUCUUACAAUCCUAUUUCUGUUAUGCGGGGACAAAGCUUGGCACUUGAAAUCACUUUUUCUUAUUUAAUUUUGUAUGUGGGAGUUUCAGUAUAUUUCCCUGGUGAAUUGUGUUUUAUUGUUGUUGUUGUUAUUGUUUUGUUUGUUUUUUUGUUACACUGUAAUCAAAAUACCACAUUAAAGGGGUAAGAUGCAGAAGUAUGGCAAAAAGUCUAAUGAG